RNAcentral lists this ribosomal RNA (400 nucleotides) under uncultured bacterium. RNAcentral's name for it is "bacterial SSU rRNA". It matches the Rfam family "Bacterial small subunit ribosomal RNA", at positions 357 to 774 of the family's 1533-position model. The record is from RNAcentral.
GGGAAUAUUGGACAAUGGGCGCAAGCCUGAUCCAGCAAUGCCGCGUGUGUGAAGAAGGUCUUCGGAUUGUAAAGCACUUUCGACGGGGACGAUGAUGACGGUACCCGUAGAAGAAGCCCCGGCUAACCCUGUGCCAGCAGCCGCGGUAAUACAGAGGAUGCAAGCGUUAUCCGGAAUGAUUGGGCGUAAAGGGCGCGUAGGCGGCUUGUACAGUCAGAUGUGAAAUUCCCGGGCUUAACCUGGGGGCUGCAUUUGAUACGUGCGGGCUAGAGUGUGAAAGAGGGUCGUGGAAUUCCCAGUGUAGAGGUGAAAUUCGUAGAUAUUGGGAAGAACACCGGUGGCGAAGGCGGCGACCUGGUUCAUGACUGACGCUGAGGCGCGAAAGCGUGGGGAGCAAACA